Non-coding RNA from Pelobates cultripes (western spadefoot toad), 121 nucleotides. Lineage: Eukaryota; Metazoa; Chordata; Amphibia; Anura; Pelobatidae. The record is from the annotation of a GenBank genome assembly.
AGGAAGACCUGAAUGGGUCGAAACGUCGAUCAACUCUUCGGUCUUUAAAUUUUCCAAAAUUAUUUAUUUCAUUAUUUAAAAUGUGGCAAGUUGAUCGACGUUUCGACCCAUUCGGGUCUUC